UACGAAGGGAGCUAGCGUUGUUCGGAAUCACUGGGCGUAAAGCGCACGUAGGCGGAUGUGUCAGUCAGGGGUGAAAUCCCGGAGCUCAACUUCGGAACUGCCCUUGAUACAGCACGUCUUGAGUCCGGAAGAGGUGGGUGGAAUUCCUAGUGUAGAGGUGAAAUUCGUAGAUAUUAGGAAGAACACCGGUGGCGAAGGCGGCCCACUGGUCCGGUACUGACGCUGAGGUGCGAAAGCGUGGGGAUCAAACAGG
RNAcentral lists this ribosomal RNA (253 nucleotides) under uncultured bacterium. Its description in RNAcentral is "partial 16S ribosomal RNA". It matches the Rfam family "Bacterial small subunit ribosomal RNA", at positions 524 to 776 of the family's 1533-position model. The record is from RNAcentral.